Molecule: ribosomal RNA, 468 nt
Filed under: uncultured bacterium
Lineage: Bacteria
Description: partial 16S ribosomal RNA
Rfam family: Bacterial small subunit ribosomal RNA
Source: RNAcentral
GACGAACGCUGGCGGCGUGCUUAACACAUGCAAGUCGAACGGAAAGGCGCUGACCUUGUGGGGUGCUCGAGUGGCGAACGGGUGCGUAACACGUGAGUAACCUGCCCUUGACUUUGGGAUAACUUCAGGAAACAAGGGCUAAUACAGGGUAGGAGCUCCUGCUGCAUGGUGGGGGGUGGAAAGGUUCGGCGGUUGGGGCUGUACGUGCGGCUUAUGAGCCUGAUGGUGGGGUAGUGGCGUACCAAGGCUUGGAAGGGUAGCCGGCCUGGGAGGGUGACCGGCCACAGUGGGACUGGGGUAGGGGCCGGACUCCUACGGGAGGCAGCGGUGAGGAACAUUGCCCACUGGGCGGAGGGCUGAAAGAGCGACGCCGCGUUGUGGAUGACGGCCUGCGGGGUGUAAACCGCUUUCACCUGAGAGGAAGCGUGAGUGACGGUAAUGGGUAAAGAAGCACCGGCUAACUACGUG